Molecule: ribosomal RNA, 253 nt
Filed under: uncultured bacterium
Lineage: Bacteria
Description: partial 16S ribosomal RNA
Rfam family: Bacterial small subunit ribosomal RNA
Source: RNAcentral
UACGGAGGGUGCAAGCGUUAAUCGGAAUUACUGGGCGUAAAGCGCACGCAGGUGGCUGAGUCAGUCGAUUGUGAAAGCCCUGGGCUUAACCUAGGAAUUGCAGUCGAUACUACUCAGCUAGAGUAUGGGAGAGGGCAGUGGAAUUCCCGGUGUAGCGGUGAAAUGCGCAGAUAUCAGGAGGAACACCGGUGGCGAAGGCGGGUCUCUGGGCCGAUACUGACGCUGAGGAGCGAAAGCGUGGGGAGCGAACAGG